RNAcentral lists this transfer RNA (76 nucleotides) under Ureibacillus terrenus. RNAcentral describes it as "tRNA-Ala". It matches the Rfam family "tRNA". From Rfam's summary of the family: Transfer RNA (tRNA) molecules are approximately 80 nucleotides in length. Their secondary structure includes four short double-helical elements and three loops (D, anti-codon, and T loops). The record is from RNAcentral. Lineage: Bacteria; Bacillati; Bacillota; Bacilli; Caryophanales; Caryophanaceae. RNAcentral also lists the same sequence under 11 other names.
GGGGCAUUAGCUCAGCUGGGAGAGCGCCUGCUUUGCACGCAGGAGGUCAGCGGUUCGAUCCCGCUAUGCUCCACCA